Non-coding RNA from Triticum urartu, 135 nucleotides. The record is from Rfam. Lineage: Eukaryota; Viridiplantae; Streptophyta; Magnoliopsida; Poales; Poaceae.
CUCAUACUCUCUCCGUCCGGAAAUACUUAUUAUCAAAAUGGAUAAAUAAGGAUGUAUCUAGAUGUAUUUUAGUUCUAGAUACAUCUCUUUUUAUUCAUUUUGAUGACAAGUAUUUUCGGACGGAGGGACUAAGCA